This is a long non-coding RNA of Homo sapiens (human), 1867 nucleotides long. The record is from Ensembl. Lineage: Eukaryota; Metazoa; Chordata; Mammalia; Primates; Hominidae.
UGGCUGUUGGAUGGAGUGGAAGGCCUGCAGGAGGGCCUGCCUGCUCACAGCAAACACGACGGGCAGCUAUGGGUGCCAGCUGCUGGGCCUGGUGGGCCACAUCAACUGUGGUCAGGGUAAACACCCUGUAGCCAAGGUUAAUAUCUGAGCCACAGACCAAAUUGGCAGUUAAAGCUGGUACUCAGGACAUUCCGUUGGGCUAGAGAGGGAGAACCACUCAGCUGGCUUAAUGAAAGACACGGGUGUGGGACUUUGUCAGCAGAUGCAAGCCUGGAGCCACCACACAGCAGAGAGGAGUAGGAAACCAGAGUAUGGAAGCCCCUUCCUCUCCUGCACCAAAUCACUCACAGCACCAUGAUGGGCAGCAGUAGAAGGAUUAGAAACCACACCGCCCUGAUAGGAGUUGAACUUUUCUUCAACUGGCUCUUAAGCUGACAUGAGAUUGCGCUAGUUGGAAGAUACCAAGAUACUCUUAAAAGAGAAGAUGAAGUUCUCAUGUUUCAACCCCUAUUACUAUUGACUGUCAACUUCCCAAAAGACCCCAGAAAAACAUGUUAAUGGAACAAAACUAAGUUUAUUAGAUUUACUGUAGUAUAAGAGAAAACCACCUUGGUAGAGUCUUGAUAGUGCCUCAGGUUGACAAAGUCAGGGUCUGCACUGGGGGACUUCUAAGGUAGCUUUUGCAAGGUGGGGAGUAGCUUGGGACUGGGCAGGGUUUCUACCCUAACAAUUCUCAAUUGGUAAGCCCCGCAAGGCCAAGGAUCCUGAAGCAAAUCUAGAUAAGAAAGAUACUGGAUUUUAUAAGCUAGCUAUUUUAGUGGAUUUACUGCCUCAUUUUUGGUAAGCAAGUCUUCCUGAAGCAAGCAGGCUUUGGAAUAAGAUGAAGUCACCCAAACUCCAUUGUGAAAUCUAGUCUCCUUGCAAUCUGUCUGACCUCAGAGAGGCAAACAAAAUGUCUGUUUGGGAGAUGGUACAGAUGAGGAAAUGAAAGCCUCCGGAUGUAGGUUCUCUGGACCAGACCGCCGCAGCAGAGACCUGUGUUUUCUCCUGGGGAUUCGGAAACCCCACUCCCCUUGCCUUCAGAGGCGCUGCCGCUCUCCAUUGUGGGGCAGAGGUGAAGAAGCAAAGAAAGUGUCCUUUUCAUCCUCGCCAUAGAAUGAAAAACAAUUCAUCACCACAAUUACUCACCAAACCUGAGAGGAGGACAAAAGAAAACAUGUUUACGUUACUUUUUCUUUCAUUAAAAAGCAACACGUGUUUUUGCCCAUCAGAUAGAAAACACAGAUGCAGAAAAAGGUAAACAAUUCAAAGAAAACCCUCUCUUCUAGAAAUACUUAACAGUUACUAAUUAUAAAGACACAUAGGAGUUGCAGGAAGUGAUUCUAAUUCUUGAUGUAAGAGAAUAUUUUCAUGGCAUGUUCCACAUUGAGAAACCUGAUCCAGUGACUCAGAAUUAUUUCUGAAACAAUAUCCCCUUCCCCCACCCUCUGCUCAAUUUCUUCUAAUUAUAACUCUCUGAGAUAUUUGCCUCUGAUAAUCAUAGGGAAAGAAGGGGAGAGGGAAAGGAGAAGAGAAAAGGAAUAUAGUUCAAUUGCCAAUAUGCCAAAAGUGGAAAGAUGGACCCGAGUCUCCUCUGGCGCAGUGUCAGGACUGUACAGCACACACUGGCCAGGCCCGUGCCAGAGGCCCAUUGUCAGACACCAUGGUGGGAGCAUGGGAACCUUCUAAAUGAACAGCCCUGCUCAACUCCUUGGGCCUCAUGUGGGCUGGGAAAAUAGAUCUGAUUCCACCCUUGUUCCUGCAAUACUCAACACAAUGCCAAGCCUGUACUGGGCGCCCAAUAUAUUUUUCUUGAAUGAGUUAAUAA